RNAcentral lists this ribosomal RNA (1408 nucleotides) under marine sediment metagenome. Its description in RNAcentral is "bacterial LSU rRNA". It matches the Rfam family "Bacterial large subunit ribosomal RNA", at positions 1387 to 2925 of the family's 2925-position model. The record is from RNAcentral.
ACCCCUAAGGCGAGGCCGAAAGGCGUAGUCGAUGGGAACCAGGUUAAUAUUCCUGGGCCAGAUGGAAGUGACGGAUCGCAGGGGUAGUUCAUCCUUAUCGGAUUGGAUGGGCUGCUGAGCGGUCCCUGGAAAUAGCUCCAUCGCUAGAUCGUACCCUAAACCGACACAGGUGGACAGGUAGAGAAUACCAAGGCGCUUGAGAGAACUAUGUUGAAGGAACUCGGCAAAAUACCUCCGUAAGUUCGCGAGAAGGAGGCCCGGUUCCUAGGCAACUAGGGGCUGGGGGCACAAACCAGGGGGUGGCGACUGUUUAUUAAAAACACAGGGCUCUGCGAAGUCGCAAGACGACGUAUAGGGUCUGACGCCUGCCCGGUGCCUGAAGGUUAAAAGGAGGGGUGAGAGCUCUGAAUUGAAGCCCAGGUAAACGGCGGCCGUAACUAUAACGGUCCUAAGGUAGCGAAAUUCCUUGUCGGGUAAGUUCCGACCUGCACGAAUGGCGUAACGACUUCCCCGCUGUCUCCAACAUAGACUCAGCGAAAUUGAAUUACCGGUCAAGAUGCCGGUUACCCGCGGUUAGACGGAAAGACCCCGUGCACCUUUACUACAGCUUCACACUGGCAUUAGGCCGAACAUGUGCAGGAUAGGUGGUGGGCUUUGAAACCGGGACGCCAGUCCCGGUGGAGCCUCCCUUGAGAUACCACCCUUGUUCUGCUUGAUGUCUAACCGCGGUCCGUUAUCCGGAUCCGGGACCCUGUGUGGCGGGUAGUUUGACUGGGGCGGUCGCCUCCUAAAUCGUAACGGAGGCGCGCGAAGGUUGGCUCAGAGCGGUCGGAAAUCGCUCGUUGAGUGCAAUGGCAGAAGCCAGCCUGACUGCGAGACUGACAAGUCGAGCAGAGUCGAAAGACGGCCAUAGUGAUCCGGUGGUCCCAAGUGGGAGGGCCAUCGCUCAACGGAUAAAAGGUACGCCGGGGAUAACAGGCUGAUACUGCCCAAGAGUCCAUAUCGACGGCAGUGUUUGGCACCUCGAUGUCGGCUCAUCUCAUCCUGGGGCUGGAGCAGGUCCCAAGGGUACGGCUGUUCGCCGUUUAAAGAGGUACGUGAGCUGGGUUUAGAACGUCGUGAGACAGUUCGGUCCCUAUCUUCCGUGGGUGUAGGAUACUUGAGAGGAGUUGCCCCUAGUACGAGAGGACCGGGGUGAACGAUCCACUGGUGGACCAGUUGUUAUGCCAAUAGCAGUGCUGGGUAGCUAUGAUCGGACAGGAUAACCGCUGAAGGCAUCUAAGCGGGAAGCCCCCCUCAAAACAAGGUAUCCCUGAGAGCCGAGAUAGACCAUCUCGUCGAUAGGCCAGAGAUGUAAGCGUGGUAACACGUUCAGUUGACUGGUACUAAUUGCUCGAUAGGCUUGAUU